GCAGCAAACCGUUCUGUCGCUCCAUACCAUUGUGUACGGGGAGGAAAGUCCGGACAACACAGAGCACCAUACUUCCUAACGGGAAGAUGCCCGCGAGGGUAUAGUAACGUAACAGAAAAUAACCGUCCCGGCUUUGUUCUGAGCUUGUCGAAGGGCACCCGGGAUAAGGGUGAAAAGGUGGGGUAAGAGCUCACCGGGCCCCGUGGCGACAUGGGGUGCCGUACGUCUUAUGGGUUGAAAGACCAUGUAUACCGGCGCUGAGGACUGCUCGUCCGAUGCCGGGGGGUAGGUCGUUAAAGCUGUUCAGCAAUGAACGGCGUAGAGAAAUGACAGAAAACCGCUUCGUUUAUCUCUGUGAGAUUAAAGGACUGGUAACAGAAUCCGGCUUACAGGUUUGCUGCUUUU
RNAcentral lists this RNase P RNA (405 nucleotides) under Bacteroidales bacterium. RNAcentral describes it as "RNase P RNA component class A". It matches the Rfam family "Bacterial RNase P class A". From Rfam's summary of the family: Ribonuclease P (RNase P) is a ubiquitous endoribonuclease, found in archaea, bacteria and eukarya as well as chloroplasts and mitochondria. Its best characterised activity is the generation of mature 5'-ends of tRNAs by cleaving the 5'-leader elements of precursor-tRNAs. The record is from RNAcentral. Lineage: Bacteria; Pseudomonadati; Bacteroidota; Bacteroidia; Bacteroidales.